Molecule: ribosomal RNA, 113 nt
Organism: Pan paniscus (pygmy chimpanzee)
Lineage: Eukaryota; Metazoa; Chordata; Mammalia; Primates; Hominidae
Source: Ensembl
AUCUAUGACCAUGCUACCCUGAAUGUGCCUGAUCUCAUCUGAUCUUGGAAGCUAAGCAAGGUUGGGCCUGGUUAGUACUUGGAUGGGAGACCAAAGUGCUGGCAUUACAGGCA